GAUCAUUACAAGUUGACCCCGGCCCUCGGGCCGGGAUGUUCACAACCCUUUGUUGUCCGACUCUGUUGCCUCCGGGGCGACCCUGCCUCCGGGCGGGGGCCCCGGGUGGACAUUUCAAACUCUUGCGUAACUUUGCAGUCUGAGUAAAUUUAAUUAAUAAAUUAAAACUUUCAACAACGGAUCUCUUGGUUCUGGCAUCGAUGAAGAACGCAGCGAAAUGCGAUAAGUAAUGUGAAUUGCAGAAUUCAGUGAAUCAUCGAAUCUUUGAACGCACAUUGCGCCCCCUGGUAUUCCGGGGGGCAUGCCUGUUCGAGCGUCAUUUCACCACUCAAGCCUCGCUUGGUAUUGGGCGACGCGGUCCGCCGCGCGCCUCAAAUCGACCGGCUGGGUCUUUCGUCCCCUCAGCGUUGUGGAAACUAUUCGCUAAAGGGUGCCGCGGGAGGCCACGCCGUAAAACAACCCCAUUUCUAAGGUUGACCUCGGAUCAGGUAGGGAUACCCGCUGAACUUAAGCAUAUCAAUAAGCGGAGGAAAGGGCGAAUU
RNAcentral lists this ribosomal RNA (542 nucleotides) under uncultured fungus. RNAcentral's name for it is "eukaryotic LSU rRNA". The stretch from base 166 to 319 matches the Rfam family "5.8S ribosomal RNA". Lineage: Eukaryota; Fungi. The record is from RNAcentral.